RNAcentral lists this ribosomal RNA (229 nucleotides) under uncultured bacterium. RNAcentral describes it as "partial 16S ribosomal RNA". It matches the Rfam family "Bacterial small subunit ribosomal RNA", at positions 568 to 796 of the family's 1533-position model. The record is from RNAcentral.
UAUGUAGGUGUCUUGGUAAGUCGGAUGUGAAAUCCUUCAGCUUAACUGAAGAAUUGCGUUCGAAACUACCAGGAUUGAGUGCAUGAGAGGAGAGGGGAAUUCUCGGUGUAAGGGUGAAAUCUGUAGAUAUCGAGAAGAACACCGGUGGCGAAGGCGCCUCUCUGGCGUGCAACUGACACUGAAAUACGAAAGCGUGGGUAGCAAACAGGAUUAGAUACCCUGGUAGUCC